Molecule: ribosomal RNA, 416 nt
Filed under: uncultured bacterium
Lineage: Bacteria
Description: bacterial SSU rRNA
Rfam family: Bacterial small subunit ribosomal RNA
Source: RNAcentral
UGGGGAAUCUUGCACAAUGGACGAAAGUCUGAUGCAGCAACGCCGCGUGGGGGAUGAAGCUUCUCGGAGUGUAAACCCCUUUCGACCUGGACGAAUGCCCGCAAGGGUUUGACGGUACAGGUAUAAGAAGCCCCGGCUAACUACGUGCCAGCAGCCGCGGUAAUACGUAGGGGGCCAGCGUUGCUCGGAAUUACUGGGCGUAAAGGGUCCGUAGGCGGUGUGGUAAGUCGAUAGUGAAAUCUCUGGGCUUAACCCAGAGGCUGCUAACGAAACUACCAUGCUAGAGUGUGAGAGAGGCGAGUGGAAUUACGGGUGUAGCGGUGAAAUGCGUAGAUAUCCGUAGGAACAUCCGAGGCGAAAGCGGCUCGCUGGAUCACAACUGACGCUGAGGGACGAAAGCUAGGGGAGCAAACAGG